AAAAGGUGGCUAUGCUACCGCUUUUGGAUGGGCCCGCGGCGCAUUAGCUAGUUGGUGGGGUAAAGGCUUACCAAGGCAAUGAUGCGUAACCGAACUGAGAGGUUGAUCGGCCACAUUGGGACUGAGACACGGCCCAAACUCCUACGGGAGGCAGCAGUAGGGAAUCUUCCACAAUGGGCGAAAGCCUGAUGGAGCAACGCCGCGUGGGUGAAGAAGGUCUUCGGAUCGUAAAACCCUGUUGUUAGAGAAGAAAGUGCGUGAGAGUAACUGUUCACGUUUCGACGGUAUCUAACCAGAAAGCCACGGCUAACUACGUGCCAGCAGCCGCGGUAAUACGUAGGUGGCAAGCGUUAUCCGGAUUUAUUGGGCGUAAAGGGAACGCAGGCGGUCUUUUAAGUCUGAUGUGAAAGCCUUCGGCUUAACCGGAGUAGUGCAUUGGAAACUGGGAGACUUGAGUGCAGAAGAGGAGAGUGGAACUCCAUGUGUAGCGGUGAAAUGCGUAGAUAUAUGGAAGAACACCAGUGGCGAAAGCGGCUCUCUGGUCUGUAACUGACGCUGAGGUUCGAAAGCGUGGGUAGCAAACAGGAUUAGAUACCCUGGUAGUCCACGCCGUAAACGAUGAAUGCUAAGUGUUGGAGGGUUUCCGCCCUUCA
RNAcentral lists this ribosomal RNA (653 nucleotides) under uncultured bacterium. RNAcentral's name for it is "bacterial SSU rRNA". It matches the Rfam family "Bacterial small subunit ribosomal RNA", at positions 202 to 842 of the family's 1533-position model. The record is from RNAcentral.